This is a long non-coding RNA of Cebus imitator (Panamanian white-faced capuchin), 2357 nucleotides long. RefSeq lists it as uncharacterized. The transcript has 4 exons. Lineage: Eukaryota; Metazoa; Chordata; Mammalia; Primates; Cebidae. The record is from RefSeq and is a predicted model, not a curated record.
CCCCUGGGCUCAAGUCAUCCUCCCACUUUGGCCUCCCGAAAUGCUAGGAUUACAGGUGUAAGCCACCGUACUCAGCCCUAUCUCUGGUUUUAAUAUCAGGGAACUACUAACUUCAUAAAAUGAAUUGGAAACUGUUCCCUCCUCUUCUAUUUUCUGAAAGAGAAUGUAGGGAGAUGGUGUGAAUUCCUCUUUAAACAUUUGGUGGAAUUCUUCAGCGAAACCAUCUGGAUCUGGAGACUUCUUUUUUGGGAGUUUUAAAAUUGCAAAUUCAAUUUCCUUAACAGUUGUAGGCAUAUUCAAAUUAUCUAGUUCACAUUGGGUGAGUCGUAGUCAUUUGUAUUUUUCAAGGAAUCAGUCCUCUUUAACUCAGCUGUCAAAUGAAUGUGUGUUCUCAGUAGCUUUUAAAAACUCCCUUCUCUCCGUUAGUUUCUCUCACAUUGAAAUGAGAUGCUGAUUCCCUCACAAGCCUUCCCUUCAUCCAGAUCAAAUGACAAAAUGCAUUAUCCUGUGCCCUGACCCAGGAGAGCAUCCUCGACAGGCAGAGCCCAGGAUGGAGGAGUCCCAGGGUGAACCCACAGAGUUUUGGGGAACCAGCUGGCCUUGGACCUCUCUGAAGAACUCUGGAAGCAGAGGGAACUGGCGAUCUUAUCAGUCACCUAAGCCUCCCUGGAGAGACCUCCCAGGAAGGGAGUUCUAGAAGUCAGAAGUCUGUAAUCAAGGUGUUGGCAGAGCUGUGUUCUCUCUGGAGACCUCAGGGGAAAAUCCAUUCUCUUACCUUACCCAGCUUCCAGAGGCCGUCCACGUUGCUGGCCCUGUGACCCCUUCUUACAUCUCUCCAAACGCUAGCUGCCAUCACCCAUCUCCUGCUGCUAAUUUGAUCCUCUUGCCUCCUUUUAAGGAUCUGUACCUUGGACUCAAACAGGACUUGCUCGGUGAGCGCAUUACUUCUAUUUCACUGGAAGUCACUCUCCAGUCUUGAGGAUUCUAGCCUUCUGAUGAAGCCAACGCUGAUUGCGGCAGAGAGAAGGUACAGAAAGGGACGAGCCUCCUCGGGAUCUCCGCAAGCUGCUUGACCAUACUGCUGGACUCUUCCGGGUAGCUGGCAAAUUUCCACAUUAUUUCAACUGGCUGGGACUGGACUUGUGAUUGAGGCAGAAAGCAUCAUACCCUAAGCCCUCCCCAUAGCCGCCCUCACAUCUUUGAUUGUAUGUUAACACCACUACAGAAUCAAUCAAAUGCAUUACCUUGCAAAAGUUGUUGAAAAAAGCCCCAUUUGGAGAAGGUGUUCUGUGGAAGCAAUCAUUCCUUACGCUCCCCUCUCCUGCCACAUCCCCCGUUGCAUCUUUUGCCCAUUGUUUUGCUACUAUUUUUUUUUCUAGACCUGCAGCUCUCAAACUUUGGUUGCAUCAGAAUCAUGGCUGGGAAGUCUGUUCUGUAAAAUGCAGAUUUCCAGGUCUCACUUUUAGAGCCUAGCCUAGUUCAGUGUGAAGUUCAGGUCUUCGUCGUCUGCCUUGUCACUAAGCUCUCCAGGGCACUGUACUGCCGCCAGAUUUGGGAACCGCUGCUCAGGUGCAACUCUAUUUCAGAUUGUGCCGGGGAAUCACAGGCAAGGCGGCCCAGGGCUGAUAAAGAGACGAAGCUGAUUGAGGGGAAUCAACAUCAUGCUUGUUUCUUACUCCUACAGAUGCACAAUGAAACAUAUGAGUAAAAAAUGACAUUUCCUUUGAGAACAGCUUGGACAGUGACCCGAACAGCCCAAGAAAAACCUCAGUGGACUUACAUGAACCUGAUUUGGCUCAAAAUUAAGCACCAUGUGGAAGAUCUUGCCCUUGUGAAAUGACAAAUUGAAUGUGUUCAGAAAUUGCAUUUGAACUAGUUGAGAUCCUGACCCAGCAGAUUCUCUCCAUUGCUUUCUUGGCUUGCACACUUCAGUGAGGCAAUCUGCCUUGUUGAAAGGCCCACAUGGCAAGGAACUGAGGAAAGCCCCUGACCAACAGCCAGCCAGGAACUGAGGUUGUCAGUCCAACUACCCCGAUGAACUGAAUGUUGAUCCUCAUGAAUUUGGAGUGUGUUCUUCCCAGUUGUGCUGUGGAAUGAGAGUGUGGCACCAGCCAACAAUGUGACUGUCCCCUGAGAAAGACGCAGAAGCAGAGGGGACAGCUAAGCCAGGUAUUUCACCCACAAAACUGAGAUAAUAUAUGUGUGUUUUUUAAGCUGUUAAGUUUUGGGACAAUUUGUUAUGCUACAAUAUAUAAUUAAUGCACAAGAUUUUUGGCAACUGGAAGAAUAAAAUUAGUAUUUAGUAUUUAUGAUAACACAAGAUGAGUGUAGGUAGAAGGUUUCUUUAUAGGAAGAUU